AGAAGAGAUUGUAGCUGAGGUACGAGAAAUGACUCAACGAUGGAGCGAAGAAAUAUUGGAAAAUUUAUUGUUACGAGAAUGUGAAUGGAGUAGUCAUUUAUCUCAAACUUUUAUUAUACCAAAGCCCAAAAAAUUAAUUAAGAAAAUGGAUUUUGAAAUGGCUGAUCCUAGUUUAGGUACCGAUGUGACGGGACUUGGAAGAACAAGACUUAGAGAGGAGGAUUUAUGAUGUUUAGAUCGUGUUGUUACACCAAGAUUAAUAUGUUUCAUUCAUUAAAAAGAGAAAUGUUUAAUAAAAAUUUUUAAGACA
This is a non-coding RNA of Cherax quadricarinatus, 310 nucleotides long. The record is from RefSeq and is a predicted model, not a curated record. Lineage: Eukaryota; Metazoa; Arthropoda; Malacostraca; Decapoda; Parastacidae.